RNAcentral lists this unclassified non-coding RNA (262 nucleotides) under uncultured fungus. RNAcentral describes it as "sequence contains 5.8S rRNA gene, ITS2, 28S rRNA gene". The stretch from base 1 to 52 matches the Rfam family "5.8S ribosomal RNA", at positions 103 to 154 of the family's 154-position model. Lineage: Eukaryota; Fungi. The record is from RNAcentral.
AACGCAUAUUGCGCUCUCUGGUAUUCCGGGGAGCAUGCCUGUUUGAGCGUCAUCAAAAAUCCUCAAAUCCUUCAUUAAGUUGAAGUGUAAUUUGGUUAUGAUCCUGCGAAAAUUUUUUUAAAAAUGUUUUUUGCUGGAUUGAAAGAAAUACUUUUUCAGGAACGUGAUAGAAACUUUUUAUUCGUUCAAUCUGGAAGAUUAUGAAAUCUAUAAUUUGAAUUAUUUUGACCUCAAAUCAGGUAGGACUACGCGCUGAACUUAA